Molecule: microRNA precursor, 83 nt
Filed under: Bombyx mori (domestic silkworm)
Lineage: Eukaryota; Metazoa; Arthropoda; Insecta; Lepidoptera; Bombycidae
Description: mir-2807 microRNA precursor family
Rfam family: mir-2807 microRNA precursor family
Source: Rfam by way of RNAcentral
UUAACUCAAAUUUGUAGGCGUGUAAACGUUUGCCUACGUUUGCCGCUAGGGGCGCUGUUCCAACUGCAUACAAAUUCGAGUUA